GCUACUUCUGCACCAAUGGUGCCAUAUUGGGACAGCGCUUUUUGCUUGCUAUUGUUUUUCUGUUUUAUUCCUUACAGACAGACUAUUGCCUUAUGUUGCCAUCUGUGUACCCUUCUAAUUGGCUGAUUUGAUCCUGUUGAGAAAACUAUAAAUGGUAGUUUCCCACACUGUUCAUAAAGUUUUCCUUAAACCAUCUAUGGCACUUGAAUGUUUAUGAGUUCUACAUCAGGUUCUUAUAAAGACAGUUCUACUCCUGCUCUCUCUCUUGAGGGUUCCAUUGCCAUAGUACAUCUGCUUCUGUUUGAGCAUCUCCUUGAUUCUUUCCCAAGUGAUUAGCUCUACAACUGUAGCUUCCAAGUGGAACAUAACAGUAUGCCAGGCUUGGCCAGGCGUGGUGAAACCCUGCAAGAUAAGAUAUGUCCAAUGUUACCUAGCUAAGUAAGUAACAAACCCAGAACUGGGCCCCAGAUCUUUCACUAUAAGUCAAUGCUUUUAGUAUCUACAAUGCUAUCCCCAUUGAACUGACCUAAUCUCUUAGAAAUUCAAAUUCCUGAGGCAAGGAAAGCAUUAUCCCAGUUUAUCUUUUCCAGCCAGGCUACACCAUCCACAAGGUUGCUGGACUAUCUGUGAACUGCCUGCACCGGGGUCAGGGGGCACACCUAAUCCAAUCCCUCGGAGUGAUACAACAUACAACAUAGCCAAAUCCCAAAGGGCUGCCAGUGGGCAUC
RNAcentral lists this long non-coding RNA (728 nucleotides) under Homo sapiens (human). RNAcentral describes it as "HSALNT0126864". The record is from RNAcentral. Lineage: Eukaryota; Metazoa; Chordata; Mammalia; Primates; Hominidae.